ACUUAAAAAACCUCCAGCCAAAAAAUAAAACCGUACUUUGUUUUAAUACCGACACCAACAUUCGUCUCCUUAAUAAAUUUUAUGUAACUGAAAAGAAACGUUCCUCACCAAAACCUACCGCUUCUUCUCCUCUUCUUUCCCUUUUCCAUUUCUCUGUUCCAUCGAAUUGUCUUUUUCCUAUUCCCAUAUUCUGAUUAUGUUUGCACACUUGAUUAUUUGGAUUUAGGGUAUAACGUGGCCUUUCCCUGAAAACUUUUGCUUUGGGGGAUUUCUUUAUUUCCAGGUUCUUUUUUCCCCUUUGGGUUCUAACUAUUGCUUUGUACCAUCAAGCAUCCAUUCUCUCCUCAACAAUUAGAUGUGGAGGAGUGCUCUUCUGAGCAUUGGGAUGGACAUAGCGUAACGCUACCAAAAGGACACGUUUCGGGUCUCUUGAGGAGGGUUUCUCUGCCAACUUGGGGUCUAAAAUGCCAUCGUGUUUCAAGUGACAAGUGGAUACUUCUUAGUACACUCUAAUACAUGUUGUUGGAUAUACCAUUGUUCUGUUUAUCCACUCCUUUAAUACAUGCCAGAAACCUCUUCAUGUUGAACGUUACUUAGAUUCCACUGGAAAUUUCCACACCUUGAGGGAAUGGGAAACUGAAUUUUGGGAGUACCUUCCGGUUUGAAACCAUUAUUUUAAGCGAACCAACUAGAGUUAUCUGUGAGUCCGAUCCACUAAGCAGAGUCAGAAGGAGGUUUCUUGAAACAAGAAUCCAGCAUGACAAUAUGUGACAAACCUCUUCAGGAGGUCGGCUGUAAUCCAGCGGAUUCCGUCUAGUAAUGAUCUCCAUAAUAAGAUUUUCAAAACUAUAGGCAUCACUUUUUUCACUCAACAUGUUAGUGCUACCAUAUUCUGGGGCAACAUAAUUGAUAGAAAGGGGGAAAUUUGCAAUUUUCUUUCCACGAGCAACUUAAUAUUCUUCCUGAUUGCAAUUUAUCUAUUCAAAUCUGUCUGCUUAGUUGAAUCAUUUUUGCAUUGAACUCCUCUUCCAAGUUUUAACAAUUUCUCUCUACGAUCAAGUCUCGGUUCUCUCAAAAAUUGUGAGCAAAGCUAAUCUCAUACACUUGUGCUUUCUGAUUUCAACGGGUCUUUUUAGAUUUGUUAAAUUAUUUUGGUGAAAUGCUUCACUUUUGUGUUAUUAUCUGGUUGAAUAAUUCACUAUUUCCUUUUGUAUUCUAAUUAUUUAUGGUUUUGUAGUAGAGAUGUGGACGAGCGCAAAAUAAGGGCCUACAAAGGUCAUUCUUGAAACUUUCGACGGUUCAAUUAUACAUGAGCUUGAUUGGAGAGGGCCUACAGAGAUGUGAUCAAGGUUAGAACAAGGGCCUGUAACGGUCACUCUUGAAACUCCAUUGGUUCAUUAAACUUUAGGUAUAUAUUCUUCUGCUUUUUAUUUUAGUUAUUUUGGCUUUUCUGGGUAACGAGGGACAAAAUGAUAUUCUUACUUUUAGAGUAGAUGUAUCACAAGUAUGUGCCAAUAACUUGCCAUGAUUACAUAGAGCUUGCUUUGAGAGGGUAUUAUGAUAAUGUCUGUCAUUAAGAUUUUUUUUCCUUAUCCAUUCCCUUUGUUGAUUAUAGAUGACUUGGGAUCUUAACUUAUACUCUUUCUUAUUUGAUUUAACCGUAAGAUUUUAUUGUUCACAUUGGAGGUCCAACUGGUAUUGGAAGAGCUGGAGAAUCUAUUUAUGGUAUUUAGAGGCCUAAUGACUUUGUGGCUACUUUUAUAGCACCAGUUAAGAAUUCCAAGUAGAUACCCCUGUUACUAAGUUUCUUAGCAAUUCAUGUCCUUUGAGAUGACUUAAGCUAGAGUGUAUUACAAUUUUGUUUUGGAAUGUUUCUUCUGUUGCAGGUCUUCAAUGAAAGACGUAAGAACUGUCAGAAAAUGAAAUAUUGAUGUUCAAAUAUUCACAAUCUAUAAUGUUAGCUUCUUUCAGAAAAUUUCUAAAAGUUUUUACUCUAAAGGGUGUGGAUAGUGGGAUCAAUCUCUCAUUCCUACUACUUAUCCCUUUCAAAGUGUGAGGAAGAUAUCAGUGGAGUAGAGCUUAAGAAAGAAUUUAGCAAUUUGAUCCUAAAUGUAUCGAGUAUUAUCUCGAAUUCUCGAUUAUGGAAAAUCCUUUGGCUCUCUGUUAUAUCUUCAUUGUUUUGCACUUUCACCUAUGAUUGUGUUUUUCCGUCUUGUGUUUAGUACUAUAGCUAAUGACACGAAGACGUAGGAACUUUGUUUCUUUAAUGUUAAUGUAUCUCCUAUUAAUAAAGUUUUUUCUUAUUAAGUAGAUUAUCAUUUCGAAAAAUUUACUCAAAUUUUGAUGCUAGAGUAGAAUUAAGUCAUCCAACGAUCCAGUAAGAGAUCGAUGUUAGUAUUAAUCCUUAUUAUAUUUUCAUAUGUGAAUUUAGUCAAGGAGGUUUCUUUCCCCCUCCCCCUCUUUCCCUUUCUCUCGGACAAGUUUGUGUACAAUUAUACUUAAUUUAUUGGUGCCUUGAUGUUAGCAAGUAUGCCAAAAACUCUAUGAGAAGGUAUUGUGUUUAGCGAAUGAGUCUGUUUAAUUAUAGAUCUAUAUUAGAGCAACAACUCCUAAAGUUAAAGUGAUAAUUGUCUCUUAGUAAAAAAAAAAAAAAAAAGUGGUAAUUGUCUCUUAGUAGGAAAAAAAAGAAGUGGUAAUUGUCUAGAUAUUAAAUUCUGUUUGAAGCAUAUGUUAUUCUUUUCCUGAAGUUGGUUGCUAUUUUAUGUAGGGGAGUCUUAAGUGUGUGUAAAGAGCAUGGGCGUCACAAGACUUUAAAUAUGAUCCCUAUUUGGCAAACUGUUUCACCAAUUAAGAUAUAUUAUGAACACUAUGAUGCAACACAACAGGAAAAGUUCAAUAAAAUUUUGAUGUAAACCUUCGGAAAAAUGAAAUAGCAAAAGGUGAAAUAUAAUUCUAAGAAAAUAAAAAAGAGAUUGGAAAGUUACCAGAAAAA
Molecule: long non-coding RNA, 2992 nt
Organism: Lycium ferocissimum
Lineage: Eukaryota; Viridiplantae; Streptophyta; Magnoliopsida; Solanales; Solanaceae
Exons: 6
Source: RefSeq, a predicted model, not a curated record